UUUUCCCUGUUCUUCUUGCCCGCUGCAUUCCUUCUCUGAUUCUUCCCCAAAUUCCCCACGAGCUAUCCCAAUCUCAGCUGCUUCCAUCCAGGAACGCAGCAUGGACCCGGCCAUUCCGGCGCAAGCAUGUACGUGGCGGGAACUCCAUCCGGCUCGCCACCACGGCGAGCGCGACGUCAGGAUAACGGCAUCUCAGCUACCUAGUACCACCUGCUGCCAACGCCAUUACGCCAACGUUGAUGAUGCCACGUGGCGGGUGAUGAGGACGCCGAAACGAACAGCGAUGAUCGAACGACUGAUUCGCUCCUAUCCUUGCACGCGCAAGCAGGCAAGUCACGUGCUCAGGUUUCUUGCUUUGUUUCUCCCCCUGUGUGUGACCCUGUCCAAUGCACUAUACUAGUUGGUAGAUAGGGCCGCAGGGGAUUCAUGGAAAGCAUAAAUACAUCUAGCCAUGUAAGCAUUCGCCAGUACAAACGUGAUUUCUGCUGACGGAUGGGAUCCGCAAGCACAAAUACAUGUUAUUUGUCCGGGUGGUGACAAUCCUAGCCGCCAGCAUUAAAAAAGAGAGGUGUCAGUAUAAUUGUUUUUGGCCUAGUGAUUUAUUCUUUUGUGGAACACAC
Molecule: long non-coding RNA, 620 nt
Filed under: Panicum hallii
Lineage: Eukaryota; Viridiplantae; Streptophyta; Magnoliopsida; Poales; Poaceae
Description: long non-coding RNA (PHAL_LNC000701)
Source: RNAcentral